RNAcentral lists this long non-coding RNA (512 nucleotides) under Mytilus galloprovincialis (Mediterranean mussel). Lineage: Eukaryota; Metazoa; Mollusca; Bivalvia; Mytilida; Mytilidae. The record is from RNAcentral.
GUCACGUUUUCUAAACUUUCUUACAUAUUUUUUUCAAAUUUUUUUCUUAAAUCUAUUUAUCAAAUGAUGAAAUCUUAUUUUAUUUCAAAUUUCAGAAAAAUAUUUUUAGAAAUAAAAGAGAAAUUAGCAAUUUCAUCUGGUCCGGUCAUUGUCGUUGUUGGUCCUGUCAGUCAGCGAUGGUCAUGUCACGUUUUCGAAAGUUUUUGAAAAUAAAUGUAUAUUUUUUAUAAAAUUUUGGUUUCAAAAUAUGACAUACCAUUUUAUAUUUCAAAUCUGAGAUAAUUCCUUUAAAAAAUAAAAAAGUUAUUAGCAUUUUUAUUUGGUCCUGUCAUUCUCGAUGUUGGUCCUGUCAUUAUCAGAGUUGGUCAUGUCACGUUUUCUAAAGUUUCUUACAAAACUUUUUUAUUUUUUUUCUUAAAUCUAUUUAUCAAAUGAUGAAAUCUUAUUAUAUUUCAAAUUUGAGAUCAAUCCUUUGAGAAACGAAAAAGUUAUUAGCAUUUUUCAUUUGGUCC